CAUUUAUCCGAGGCUAAGGCCACCUUGUCCCCACUGCCGGGUCAGGGCCUGCGGGCUGGGAGGCUGAGGACGGGCCACCCUCAUCCAGUGUGCGCCCCUGUCUCUGGCCGCCCAGGACGCCCACCAGGAGACGCCGACCUCCCAGAGAAGUGAGAAGCUGAGAAAUUAGCUUCUCCUCCCUCCCCGCGCUCAGCCACUUCCCCUGGGAGCCUCACUCCAUGUGCAGGCAGCUGGAGACUGGCUGCAGCGCCCCUCCGGGCAGAAUGAGGAGGGAGACAGCGGGAUAACCUGCAUGGACGCCCUUAGGCAUGGUUUGCCUUCUUUUCACUUCCCUGGAAGACUUCGAAGCCAGGACCCAUGACGAUGCCCCAUUUUCAUCCUCCUAAGAAGCAUGUGCUGCCUGUCAGGAGAACCAGCCCCUUGGACGCCAGCUGUCCUUAUCAUGGGACAGAAAUCAGCAGAAGAAUCCGAGUGAAAAAGCCAUCCUCUCCCAUCCACUCCUUCUCGCCACUGAUAGCAGAUAAAGGUGGUCUCGGCAGAAAUAUGUGCUCGGAUCACCGGAUUUUGUGUGUGGGUGGGUAGCCUCACAUUUGGGACUCUGUUUGGCAAAGCCUUGUGCUUUGGGAGCUUGAAGCCAGCCGAGGUGGGCUGGUCCAUCCCUGGAACAGCUGUGGGCAGGGGGCAGGUGGGGACGUUUUCCCAGAGCCCCGAGGUCUUGGGAUCAAGUGCGCUUCGAUCAUGGGGAUGGGCAGGCAGACAGAUGGCCCGAUCACAGCCAGUGGCAGGUUCUGUACGAUGCGUGAGGGAGCCUGGCUGUCUUCACCCACGUUGCUGGGCCCCCAAGGUAUCUGGUGAGCACUCACAGUGUGUGCACGGCUGUCUGACUGCGGUCUCACCCACCCUGAGCACGUGCCUGAGGGCCCCCUCCUUCCAGAGGAGUGGCCAGGGGCCAGCGUGGAGGGAAAGAGAAUGCUUCAGUGCACCCUCAGCUCCCACACUUCAGGGCACCCUCAGCUCCCAGCACUCUGCAAGAGGAACGUGCAAUAGAAAAGUAACAGCAUGGAUGAAGAGUCAGGGUCAUGGGAAGACGGACGAUCCUGAACGAGGAAGGUGAACCCCGGGAUGAGGCGGGGGCAGGAACAGGCCGCUUCCACAGUUGCUGUGGCCGAGGGUCCAAAUUCCCAGCAGCCAAAGGGAGAAUCUGCCUGCAGUGU
This is a long non-coding RNA of Capra hircus (goat), 1214 nucleotides long. RefSeq lists it as uncharacterized. The transcript has 3 exons. Lineage: Eukaryota; Metazoa; Chordata; Mammalia; Artiodactyla; Bovidae. The record is from RefSeq and is a predicted model, not a curated record.